Molecule: long non-coding RNA, 1157 nt
Filed under: Olea europaea subsp. europaea
Lineage: Eukaryota; Viridiplantae; Streptophyta; Magnoliopsida; Lamiales; Oleaceae
Source: RNAcentral
UAAAGAGGGAACCAAAAUCUAUUAAGCCAUCAAUUGAGUUUUCAAAGAAAGUAUAAAACAGGUUUUAUACUACUACAAGGAAACCUAAAAAUAAUAGGAAACUUACAAUAAAUGGAAAUUACAUAUUAUGCUAAAAUAAAUAACUAAAUAUAAGUAAAUAACUAAAUAUAACAUACGUUUUCAAACUUCACUCAAAGACGGCCUAAAAAAACAUUGACACACAUUGUAUAAAUGAUCAUCACCCACCUGUAUAAAUAAGAAAAAUAAAUACGAAAUAAACAAGUAAUAUUAUCAGAGAUUCUUGUUGCUCGAAUCUCCAAAAGAAAAUUAGUGUAAUGCGAUGAUGAAAUCAAGGGACGAAGCAACUACUGAAUUUGACAAAGAAUAAAGAAUAAUGAUCAAGGAAAACGCUAAUUGCAUGAAAAAUAUAUAAGAUACCAAAAAAACAUCUAACUUGAAAGAAGGUUAAUUCUCGUUCUCAAAACUCAAAUUCAUAACUUCUAAAUUCACACUCGGAUUGCGUCCUAUUCACAUAAUGAUUGUGCUCACAUAUAACUGAAAAAAAUGACAAAUAAUCCCUCUAUGUUCACCAAAUAGGCUAAUUCGUAGGAAACAAUAUGCAGUUGAGGAUCAGUAUCUGAGCCUCACAUGUAAACUGCUCGAUUUCGAUGUUAAAUGCUUUUAACACCAUUGAGCAAUGGAUUCCCCGUGACGUCCGUCUAAAUUUUUUUCAUAAAUCAAUUUAAUUCUGCGGAAAAAAUAUAGGGCAUAAUUAACAUGAUUUCAGGUUAAUUACAGAAAAUUAUUAUCAAGACAUUCCAUUUAUCCCAAAACAUCCAACUCAGAUUCAGAGUGAUACAUAAUGUUUAAUCCCAAUUUAAAAAUAAAUAAAUAAAAAAAUUCAAAAACAAUAAAACUAUCUAUUUGUUCGGGAAAAACGAAAUAUAAUAGACAGUUUUUCACAUCCUGCAAACAAAAUCUUCAAAUUGAAGAAAAACACAGCGCGGGAAAACAAAAAAUGGAAAAAAUAAAAACUAUAACAGCAUAUCAUUGAGGAAAUAAUCGAAUUUCUGCACUUACCCAUUAGAAUUUGUGGGGAAAUAUGCCAUUUGAGAGGACGAUCGCUGUGACUGGCGAGAAAUUCAUAGCAGAGAGAG